Molecule: long non-coding RNA, 988 nt
Filed under: Heterocephalus glaber (naked mole-rat)
Lineage: Eukaryota; Metazoa; Chordata; Mammalia; Rodentia; Bathyergidae
Description: lncRNA (ENSHGLG00100042822.1)
Source: RNAcentral
AAGCACCUGAGGUCCUGCUGCAAUCCUGGGACUCCAAGUCAGGGAUCAUAUAGGGCCUCUGGAAGAGCGACUCCUUGACGCACACUGAUCCGCCUCUCACGGCGGCCGGUCCUCCAGAGGUCAUUGUCAUCACAGAUGACUUUCACUUGAUAACUCUGUCAUCAGCCUUGAGCCUUACAGGGAGCACAGUCCAGUUGUGUUUAAUGGUUGUUGUAUCACUGGGUAUGAAGAUCACAUGACAGACCAUAUAUUGCCAUACAAGGAUUGAGGCAAGAACUAUCAGCAGAGCAGAAGCCCAUCAUCAGUGCCCCAGCCAUACAGAGCUGUGUCAUAUGAAGAUCUUCAAAAAUGCUAUUAUGGUUAAUAUUAAUGAUAUAAAUGAAAAUUACGAAUAGUUAUAACCGUCCAUGCUGCCUCAGGAGAAGAAAUUAUGCUGAAUAUCAAAGAAAGCACCAUCUUCUGCUCCUCUCAACUAGCCUAUCAUCAUCAGUAGUAUUGAAGAACUGCCUGUUCAGAAUUCUCUACAUCAAAGACACUUCUGCAAUUUAAAAAAUACCCAAGAAUCAAUGCAGGACUCCACAUGCAGAAUUGCAAAGGAAAGCGGGGAGUGUGGCUCCUUCCAGCAUCUCUCACUUCACACAGCACCUCUUUAGCAAUGACUGGUGGUGUUUUAUUGGUGGGGAUACACAUUUCUUGUUUCCCAGCCAAACAUAUAUGCACAUCUUUAUGGACACCUGCAACAACUGUGAUUGUCUAAAUAACAACACAAAGGAUAAACAGAGACCCCAGGAAUGGCAGAUAAGGCUCAGUGAAUACAAACGAGCUGACACAUUUUAUAUUUGUUUCCUGGGCUGGGUUCCUGUUCAGUUUGAACCCACAGGCAAUGUUAUGAUGGAAAAUUCCACAACUGGCACACAACUUACAUUCCAAUUUGUAUCCAAGAAUCAAUUUCAGCAAAUGAAACUGGAAUUAAAACACAGAAUCUGAG